RNAcentral lists this ribosomal RNA (395 nucleotides) under uncultured Glomeromycotina. Its description in RNAcentral is "SSU rRNA". It matches the Rfam family "Eukaryotic small subunit ribosomal RNA", at positions 569 to 970 of the family's 1831-position model. The record is from RNAcentral. Lineage: Eukaryota; Fungi; Glomeromycota.
AGCAGCCGCGGUAAUUCCAGCUCCAAUAGCGUAUAUUAAAGUUGUUGCAGUUAAAAAGCUCGUAGUUGAAUUUCGGGAUCAAUCUAUCGGUCGUGCAAUAGUACGUACUGAUUUAUUGAUUCCUACCUUCUGAUGAACUAUGAUGUCAUUAAUUUGGUGUCAUAGGGAAUCAGGACUGUUAACUUUGAAAAAAUUGAGUGUUUAAAGCAGGCUCACGCUUGAAUACAUUAGCAUGGAAUAACGAAAUAGGACGUUUGAUUCUAUUUUGUUGGUUUCUAGGAUCGACGUAAUGAUUAAUAGGGAUAGUUGGGGGCAUUAGUAUUCAAUUGUCAGAGGUGAAAUUCUUGGAUUUAUUGAAGACUAACUACUGCGAAAGCAUUUGCCAAGGAUGUUUU